This 341-nucleotide ribosomal RNA is filed under the name uncultured archaeon. RNAcentral's name for it is "partial 16S ribosomal RNA". It matches the Rfam family "Archaeal small subunit ribosomal RNA", at positions 133 to 475 of the family's 1478-position model. The record is from RNAcentral.
CGGGAAACUGGGGAUAAUCCCUGAUAGUUCUCGGUCGCUGGAAUGCUCCGAGAUCCAAAGCUCCGGCGCUCAAGGAUGGGUCUGCGGCCUAUCAGGUAGUAGUGGGUGUAGCGUACCUACUAGCCUACGACGGGUACGGGUUGUGAGAGCAAGAGCCCGGAGAUGGAUUCUGAGACACGAAUCCAGGCCCUACGGGGUGCAGCAGGCGCGAAAACUUUACAAUGCCGGCAACGGCGAUAAGGGAACCUCGAGGGCCAGGGGACAAAGCUGGCUGUCGUGAUGCCUAAAAAGCAGAGCAUAGCAAGGGCGGGGCAAGACCGGUGCCAGCCGCCGCGGUAACA